RNAcentral lists this ribosomal RNA (442 nucleotides) under uncultured bacterium. RNAcentral's name for it is "bacterial SSU rRNA". It matches the Rfam family "Bacterial small subunit ribosomal RNA", at positions 958 to 1398 of the family's 1533-position model. The record is from RNAcentral.
AACGCGAAGAACCUUACCUGGUCUUGACAUCCUAGGAACCCUUCAGAGAUGAGGGGGUGCCUUCGGGAACCUGGAGACAGGUGCUGCAUGGCUGUCGUCAGCUCGUGUCGUGAGAUGUUGGGUUAAGUCCCGCAACGAGCGCAACCCUUGUCUCAUGUUGCCAGCGCGUUAUGGCGGGGACUCGUGAGAGACUGCCGGGGUCAACUCGGAGGAAGGUGGGGAUGACGUCAAGUCAUCAUGCCCCUUAUGUCCAGGGCUUCACACAUGCUACAAUGGCCGGUACAAAGGGCUGCGAUGCCGUGAGGCUUAGCGAAUCCUUUAAAGCCGGUCUCAGUUCGGAUCGGGGUCUGCAACUCGACCCCGUGAAGUCGGAGUCGCUAGUAAUCGCAGAUCAGCAACGCUGCGGUGAAUACGUUCCCGGGCCUUGUACACACCGCGCAUA